RNAcentral lists this small RNA (52 nucleotides) under Allocoleopsis franciscana PCC 7113. RNAcentral's name for it is "Microcoleus sp. PCC 7113 Nitrogen stress-induced RNA 1". It matches the Rfam family "Nitrogen stress-induced RNA 1". Lineage: Bacteria; Bacillati; Cyanobacteriota; Cyanophyceae; Coleofasciculales; Coleofasciculaceae. The record is from Rfam by way of RNAcentral.
UGGUAGAUGCACCCUGAUUCAAUCCCUGGCGAACACGCUGGGGGUUUUUUAU